Molecule: ribosomal RNA, 508 nt
Filed under: uncultured bacterium
Lineage: Bacteria
Description: partial 16S ribosomal RNA
Rfam family: Bacterial small subunit ribosomal RNA
Source: RNAcentral
GACGAACGCUGGCGGCGUGCCUAAUACAUGCAAGUCGAACGCUUCUUUCCUCCCGAGUGCUUGCACUCAAUUGGAAAGAGGAGUGGCGGACGGGUGAGUAACACGUGGGUAACCUACCCAUCAGAGGGGGAUAACACUUGGAAACAGGUGCUAAUACCGCCUAACAGUUUAUGCCGCAUGGCAUAAGAGUGAAAGGCGCUUUCGGGUGUCGCUGAUGGAUGGACCCGCGGUGCUUUAACUAGUUGGUGAGGUAACGGCUCACCAAGGCCACGAUGCAUAGCCGACAUGAGAGGGUGAUCGGCCACACUGGGACUGAGACACGGCCCAGACUCCUACGGGAGGCAGCAGUAGGGAAUCUUCGGCAAUGGACGAAAGUCUGACCGAGCAACGCCGCGUGAGUGAAGAAGGUGUUCGGAUCGUAAAACUCUGUUGUUAGAGAAGAACAAGGACGUUAGUAACUGAACGUCCCCUGACGGUAUCUAACCAGAAAGCCACGGCUAACUACGUG